GGGCUAUGACUGGGACCUAAGCACUUCAAUCGCAAAUUCGCAAUCAAUUCCUUAUGGAUGUCCUAAACUAUUGAGAGGUCUCAAAGGAGAGUGGAGAUCAAAACUAAAUACUUCUCCACCCAAGUCACACCAUGGUCAAUUCAACAUUGGGCACAAGAGCGCAGGCUACUCCACAAAGCCUAGAUCAAGCUUGAGAAUCUUCCCCUAUUUUGCAAAAAUUUGAAUGCCCUGUGGAAGAUAAUUAUUGAUUUUAAGUUGUUUGACAAGAUCUCUCCAUUCCACUUUCC
This 287-nucleotide long non-coding RNA is filed under the name Elaeis guineensis (African oil palm). RNAcentral's name for it is "long non-coding RNA (EGUI_LNC061211)". The record is from RNAcentral. Lineage: Eukaryota; Viridiplantae; Streptophyta; Magnoliopsida; Arecales; Arecaceae.